RNAcentral lists this ribosomal RNA (466 nucleotides) under uncultured bacterium. RNAcentral's name for it is "partial 16S ribosomal RNA". It matches the Rfam family "Bacterial small subunit ribosomal RNA", at positions 28 to 507 of the family's 1533-position model. The record is from RNAcentral.
GAUGAACGCUGGCGGCGUGCCUAACACAUGCAAGUCGAACGAUGAAGCCCAGCUUGCUGGGUGGUUUAGUGGCGAACGGGUGAGUAACACGUGAGUAACUUGCCUUUAACUCUGGGUUAAGUCUGGGAAAGUGGGCCUAAUACCGGAUAGGAGCGAUCUCCGAAUGGAGGGUGCUGGAAAGAUUUAUCGGUUUUAGGUGGAUUCGCGGCCUAUCCGCUUGUUAGUGAGGAAAUGGUACACCAACGCGAUGCCGGGUAGCCGACCUGAGAGGGUGGCCGGGCACACUAGGACUGAGAGACGGACCAGACGCCUACGGGAGGCAGCAGUGGAGAGUAUUGCGCAGUGAGGGCGAGCGUGAUGCGGAGGCGCCGCGUGAGGGAUGACGGCCUUCGGGGUGUAAACCUCUUUCAGUAGAGAAGAAGCGAAAGUGACGGUACCUGCAGAAGAAGCACCGGCUAACUACGUG